Corvus hawaiiensis (hawaiian crow) is the source of this 1054-nucleotide long non-coding RNA. RefSeq lists it as uncharacterized. NCBI's taxonomy places the organism in Eukaryota, Metazoa, Chordata, Aves, Passeriformes, Corvidae. The transcript is spliced from 2 exons. The record is from RefSeq and is a predicted model, not a curated record.
ACGGACACGGGGAUGGUGGCAUACAGGGACAUGGCGACAUGAGAGACGUGAACACACAGAGGGGGGAUACACGGACACGGGGUCACGGGGACGGGGAUACACAGACACGGGGACAUGAACACGGCAACAGGAGGAUACGCAGACAGGGGGAGACACGGACGCGGGGACACACGGACACCGGGACACAGGGCAACUCCAGCGAGGGGCUCUGGACCACCCUUCCCCUGUCAGCUCUGGGGCAGCCUGGAAGACUUGUGAUUUCACUGUUUCCAAAGUCAAAGUGAGCAAAAACAAAUCCCAGUCUGCCCCUGGGUACUGACUCCAUGCUGGUGGACAGUGUCGGCUCUGAUAUACCAACCCUGCAAGCUGGGAACACCCACAGCAAACUCCAGUGAACAUGACCAGCACCAGCCAGGCAGCAACACGAAACCAGGUGUCAGCUUGCUGGUGGAAUUAAAAAUAAACAAUUUCAGAGAAACAUGAAUAUGGUCCUAAAUGUGCCAUGGUCAGGUCCUGCAGCAGGGAGCUGUCAGGGCUGGCCAUGGCCCAACCAUGCUCUAAAUCAUGGUUUUCUGCCCUUAAAUGCUGCUGAACUGGGCAGAGAGGCUGAGGAGCAUCAUUCAGCCCUUCCUCAUGGCUCCUGUGGCUGAGCAAAGGUGCUGCAGCAGCUCCACAUACACACACGCACAUAUAUAUAUUUUCCAAGCUAUCCUACUCCAUGACCUCCUAACCCCAGGAUAUUUCCCGACUGACCCCCUCUUGAGUCACUUUGAACUUGCCCCUCCAUAGUCAGGGCUGUGGCCACAGGAAACCGCCCAUAUCACGGAUCUUGGUAACCAAAAGAAUGGUUUCUUGAAAGCAAUGUAGAUGUUGGUUUCCUGCCAUCUUUGCCUCCUCCACAUUUUAGAGGUUUGAUUUCGAAGUUGGAAGCGUUACACUGGGAUAUUGGGGGAAAAGGCUGCGGAUCCCCUCCAGGGAAAGGGGGAGGAAUGCAGUGGAAAUAUAUCCUUGACAGCAGAAAUCUCUCCCAAUCAAUCAGCUGGAUUUGCCACUA